AGACCCUUCACCCCCUUCUGAGAGGAGAAGUCGGUGCUCAGACAAUUGACAGAGAUGAAGAUCUGUGGAGAGAAGAGAGAGGUACAACUAAAGAAGAAGAAGUGAACAAUGUAUGUAUUCAUACAGAAGCUGAACGGGCUAGAAGAUGUUUGUGGAUGGGACCGGUGAGGUGACUUCAGUGAAGUUUCUCUGAUCAUUGCGUGGUCUGACCUUAUAAUGUCCACUCUUGGGAGGAUUGGCAACUUUAUGCACUUACAUGGAUGUAUAAUCUGUGAAUAAUUAAUGAUGAGUCAACAGCUGAGUCUCCAAGAUUAUUGCUGAUGUCUUUCCUGUUUGGCAUUGUGUUAACACACACCUUAAUGCUCCAAAUAAGCAAACUGCACAAAGCUCUUCUUUCAUAGAAAUGCUCACACUGUUUUAUUGUUUUCUGCAGUCUAAAUCUGCAGUAUCUUAUUAUUAACAUCAUCUAAUGCUCAAGAAAAGAGUUAGAAGCAUGUCUUAGAAUUGAAGGAAAUUUACUUAGGAGUCUUGGACUCUCACUCACUCGCAAGACUUGUUUCUGUUUUUCACAGCAACCUGUCCAAAAUCUCAUUUAAUUGCUGGAUUUCCUUGUAAGAUAAAACUCUCCAGUCUGGUUUCCUUCAGGCUGUUCUCCAGAAGCGAGCAGUUAGCCAUCAUUCACCAGCACAGUGCCGAGUGAAUAAUCAAUAUAUA
Molecule: long non-coding RNA, 714 nt
Organism: Melanotaenia boesemani (Boeseman's rainbowfish)
Lineage: Eukaryota; Metazoa; Chordata; Actinopteri; Atheriniformes; Melanotaeniidae
Exons: 3
Source: RefSeq, a predicted model, not a curated record